AGUGAACGCUGGCGGUAGGCCUAACACAUGCAAGUCGAACGGCAGCACAGUAAGAGCUUGCUCUUACGGGUGGCGAGUGGCGGACGGGUGAGGAAUACAUCGGAAUCUACUUUUUCGUGGGGGAUAACGUAGGGAAACUUACGCUAAUACCGCAUACGACCUACGGGUGAAAGCAGGGGAUCUUCGGACCUUGCGCGAUUGAAUGAGCCGAUGUCGGAUUAGCUAGUUGGCGGGGUAAAGGCCCACCAAGGCGACGAUCCGUAGCUGGUCUGAGAGGAUGAUCAGCCACACUGGAACUGAGACGCGGUCCAGACUCCUACGGGAGGCAGCAGUGGGGAAUAUUGGACAAUGGGCGCUAGCCUGAUCCAGCCAUACCGCGUGGGUGAAGAAGGCCUUCGGGUUGUAAAGCCCUUUUGUUGGGAAAGAAAAGCAGCAGGUUAAUACCCCGCUGUUCUGACGGUACCCAAAGAAUAAGCACCGGCUAACUUCGUG
RNAcentral lists this ribosomal RNA (492 nucleotides) under uncultured bacterium. RNAcentral's name for it is "partial 16S ribosomal RNA". It matches the Rfam family "Bacterial small subunit ribosomal RNA", at positions 29 to 507 of the family's 1533-position model. The record is from RNAcentral.